RNAcentral lists this ribosomal RNA (403 nucleotides) under uncultured bacterium. Its description in RNAcentral is "bacterial SSU rRNA". It matches the Rfam family "Bacterial small subunit ribosomal RNA", at positions 355 to 775 of the family's 1533-position model. The record is from RNAcentral.
UUGGGAAUCUUGGACAAUGGGGGAAACCCUGAUCCAGCCAUGCCGCGUGAGUGAUGAAGGCCUUCGGGUUGUAAAACUCUUUCGCGCACGACGAUAAUGACGGUAGUGCGAGAAGGAGCUCCGGCUAACUUCGUGCCAGCAGCCGCGGUAAUACGAAGGGGGCUAGCGUUGUUCGGAAUUACUGGGCGUAAAGCGCGCGCAGGCGGUCUUCCAAGUCAGUGGUGAAAGCCCGGAGCUCAACUCCGGAACUGCCAUUGAAACUGUUAGACUUGAGUAUGAGAGAGGUGAGUGGAAUUCCCAGUGUAGAGGUGAAAUUCGUAGAUAUUGGGAAGAACACCGGUGGCGAAGGCGGCUCACUGGCUCAUUACUGACGCUCAGGCGCGACAGCGUGGGGAUCAAACAG